ACCUGUGUGGUGUAGUGGUUAGGGUGCUGGCUCAGGACUUGAGAGACCUGGGUUCAAAUCCCUGCUCAGCCA
This is a non-coding RNA of Podarcis lilfordi (Lilford's wall lizard), 72 nucleotides long. The record is from the annotation of a GenBank genome assembly. NCBI's taxonomy places the organism in Eukaryota, Metazoa, Chordata, Lepidosauria, Squamata, Lacertidae.